RNAcentral lists this transfer RNA (74 nucleotides) under Pinus taeda (loblolly pine). RNAcentral's name for it is "tRNA-Leu". The record is from RNAcentral. Lineage: Eukaryota; Viridiplantae; Streptophyta; Pinopsida; Pinales; Pinaceae.
CCAGGUCCAUUGGCUUCAGAUCCAGUCUAAGUUUAAGCCCUAGCUUUCCUCUUUUCUAAUCGCGGCGAUCUGGU